Molecule: unclassified non-coding RNA, 312 nt
Filed under: Hevea brasiliensis (rubber tree)
Lineage: Eukaryota; Viridiplantae; Streptophyta; Magnoliopsida; Malpighiales; Euphorbiaceae
Source: RNAcentral
ACAUAUGAAGGAACAGUGGAUAUUGACAAGAUAACAGAUCCAGUUCAGCAGCGUGCUAUGCAAGAUCAGAUUGCUUACUUUGGACAAACACCAUCUCAGCUUCUUACUGUCCCACACAUGAAAAGAAUGCCUCUGGAGGAAGUUCUCCAGCUACAGACCAUAUUCCGGAAUCCUAGAGCUGCUAAACCAUAUACGGUUCCCCACCCUGAGCGCUGCAACUUACCUGCUGCAGCAAUGCAGGCUUCUUCUGAUUCCCUUGUAAUUGUUGAUACAAAUGCGCCAGCUGCUCACGUAGCUCAGCAUAAAUGGCAA